ACGAGUUAGGGUCCUCUAGGGCCCGACCUCCCAACCCUUUGCUUACCGAACCUCUGUUGCUUCGGCGGCCCGCUCACGACCGCCGGAGGAUCCGCCCCAGGCGGUCCUCUAGGCCCGUGUCCCGCCGAUAGCCACUAUCAAAACUCUGUAAUAAAUCAUGUCUCAUGUCUAAGUCAGAUUGAAUAAAAGCA
This 191-nucleotide unclassified non-coding RNA is filed under the name soil metagenome. RNAcentral's name for it is "partial internal transcribed spacer 1". The record is from RNAcentral.